UGCACUAGCCAAUAGAGCUGGGGGAGGCGGAGCGGGCGGGGCUGCCCUUUGGCCGCGCUCGGCCUUGUGGGAGAGCUAGUGGCUGCUGGCUUGUGCGCGCCGGUCUCAUCGCUGCUGAGGGUCAGCAGAGAGCCGCGGCCUGUGGGGCGUUGUCUAAUCCCAGAGCGCUGACUGCGGGCACCGAGAAUCCUGGCGUUAGUCCAAGGGGCCUGGCGAAAUCUCGUUAACGAGUACUGCAGGCUGUUGGUGAAGUCACGACGUAGUGCCAGUGGCCUCGUCCCGCUCUGCUCAAGGGACCCUCACAGGCUGUGGAAUCCGGGCGUCGGGACCUCCGGGGACCUGGGCCUUCUGCUUCCACUCUCAUUCCUGAAUGUUAAAGGGGCAGGGCCGGACCGGAUGGAAUCACCAAAAAGUAUAAUCAUUAGGUCACUAGAUGUGCACGUUGGCAAUUUUCGAAAAUAUUGCCAGAGAGAUUGAAAUAAUUCACCACUGCCCCUCCUCCAGCUUCUCCUGGGCAUGCCACAUACACUGUGGGAAGGGGAAAGGCUGACCUAGAACACCUUCAAGUGGAUGCUACAUAGGAAGCUGGUUGGGACUGAAUCUGGGCAGAAUGGCUGUCGCACUUGCUUUGAAGUUACGAGCACAGCAGUACCAGAACAAUCAGCAGGCAUCUCCGAAAGUUUCCAGGGCAGGGAACCCACCAGGGCAGAGCCUCAGCUCUCAGCCUCCCGGAAUGAACCAUGAACCCAAAGCAAAGAGCAGAACUCCUUUGACACCUCCAGCUUCACAGACAAAGAUGAAUCUCCUAAGGCAUUUCUGAAACAUGCAGUUCUGAAGUCUGGCCAGCCACACCAAAGAGCUUUUCGCAAGAAGGCACAGGCCAGGUAGAGGCAGCUGUGCAGUGGGAGGACUGUGAUGUUUUGGACUAGAAAAUAAGACGCAAAUGAGGCCAAAAAAACACAGGCACUGCAUAAAGGUGUCUUCUCCCCACUUUAUAAGCCUUAUGUGUGAUAAUAUUCAAUGCCACAGCAAGGCAAGCAAAUAGGUCCUUGGAGGGAGGGAUAGCUGGAUUUUAAUCCUGGCUCUACACUAAGGUCUUGGACUACUUACUGCAGGUCUCUGAGCUUCAUAGUUUUAUGUAUAAAAUAGGAUGAAGACCAUCCCCAAAUCCACUUCGAUGGUGAGAAUUAGGUGACAUGACAGCAGAAGGGCAUUUAGAGUUUGGCACAGAAGGGAUCUCAACAAAUGGUAGCUGUGUUUCAUCGUUCAUUUGAGAACUGAUGUUUGGAUCCUUUUCUGCAUCUUGAAAUGUCCCAAAAUAUUCCUCCUUAAGCCCUGCAGUUGGAUACUCAUUGAUACUUCUCUGUUCAAUUUAUACUGCGAGCAGGGGAGGGAGGCUUGAGCUUGGUUCCAUGAACGAGGUUGAAGGGUGUAAGUCUCCCAGCUUCAUUUCUGUCUCCUCCUCACCUGGGGAGCCAUGGCCAAUUCUCUUCCCAGGUCACUUGACUUCUCCAUGACCAUGACUUUCACCUUCUGCAUUUUGGAACAAUAUACUCAUGAAUGCUAAGAAGCUUUUGUUUCUUUCUGCCUGUGCUGAGCCUGUCUACUAUAAAAGAAAAAUCACAAUGGUUGUCAUAGUUAUGCUCUUUGCUUCCUGAGUGGAAUAGCACCGGUUUUUAUGUUACAUUAUACUAUAUUCUGGAUCUCUCUUUGAUGGUGGGUUAUGGAGAAGGUUUGCCAAUUCUUUCUUUUACAAUUCUUUUUAAAUAAAUCCUCAGAAUUAAGGCCAUUUUAUUAUCUUCUUUUACUUUUAAAUACACACACACACACA
This 1831-nucleotide long non-coding RNA is filed under the name Homo sapiens (human). RNAcentral's name for it is "HSALNT0372967". The record is from RNAcentral. Lineage: Eukaryota; Metazoa; Chordata; Mammalia; Primates; Hominidae.